GGAGUAGGGCAAAUGAUCGCUGGUUCCGCUUCGGCGGGACGGGAGGAAAGUCCGGGCUCCGCAGGGCAGGGUGCUGGGUAAUACCCAGUCUCGGUGACGAGCAGGAAAGCGCAACAGAAAGCAAACCGCCCCGCUUUCGGCGGGGUAAGGGUGAAACGGUGAGGUAAGAGCUCACCAGUCCCGGUGGUGACAUCGGGAGCUAGGCAAGCCCCACCCGGAGCAAGACCGAAUAGGAGAGCGCUCAAGGGCGGCCCGUCCGAGCUCUCGGGUAGGUUGCUUGAGCCCGCUGGCAACAACGGGCCUAGAGGAAUGAUCAUUGCCUCUCGUGCGAUGCAAAUCGUGACGGGAGGAACAGAACCCGGCUUAUGACCUGCUCCAGAU
This 381-nucleotide RNase P RNA is filed under the name Deltaproteobacteria bacterium. Its description in RNAcentral is "RNase P RNA component class A". It matches the Rfam family "Bacterial RNase P class A". Rfam says of the family: Ribonuclease P (RNase P) is a ubiquitous endoribonuclease, found in archaea, bacteria and eukarya as well as chloroplasts and mitochondria. The record is from RNAcentral. Lineage: Bacteria; Pseudomonadati; Myxococcota; Myxococcia.